AGAAAAUUGAGUUCGAGAUAAGAGACACUGAGGAUAAACGAUUAUCAUGUACUCUGUGGGAAACCUACGCUGAAGCUUUAGAUCGUGCUAUCAAUGAGUCAAGUGAUGGUAUGGUUAUGUGUUUCCUACGCUUUGUUAAACAAAACAGCUUCAAAG
Molecule: long non-coding RNA, 156 nt
Organism: Camelina sativa (false flax)
Lineage: Eukaryota; Viridiplantae; Streptophyta; Magnoliopsida; Brassicales; Brassicaceae
Source: RefSeq, a predicted model, not a curated record